This 440-nucleotide ribosomal RNA is filed under the name uncultured bacterium. RNAcentral describes it as "partial 16S ribosomal RNA". It matches the Rfam family "Bacterial small subunit ribosomal RNA", at positions 338 to 795 of the family's 1533-position model. The record is from RNAcentral.
CCUACGGGAGGCAGCAGUAGGGAAUAUUGCUCAAUGGGGGAAACCCUGAAGCAGCAACGCCGCGUGGAGGAUGAAGGUUUUCGGAUUGUAAACUCCUUUUGUUAGAGAAGAUAAUGACGGUAUCUAACGAAUAAGCACCGGCUAACUCCGUGCCAGCAGCCGCGGUAAUACGGAGGGUGCAAGCGUUACCCGGAAUAACUGGGCGUAAAGAGCGCGUAGGCGGGAUAGUAAGUCAGAUGUGAAAUCCUAGGGCUUAACCAUAGAACUGCAUUUGAAACUGUUAUUCUAGAGUAUGGGAGGGGUAGGUGGAAUUCUUGGUGUAGGGGUAAAAUCCGUAGAGAUCAAGAGGAAUAUUGAUUGCGAAGGCGACCUGCUAGAACAUAACUGACGCUGAUGCGCGAAAGCGUGGGGAGCAAACAGGAUUAGAUACCCUAGUAGUC